This 71-nucleotide microRNA precursor is filed under the name Patiria miniata (bat star). Its description in RNAcentral is "mir-375 microRNA precursor family". It matches the Rfam family "mir-375 microRNA precursor family". Lineage: Eukaryota; Metazoa; Echinodermata; Asteroidea; Valvatida; Asterinidae. The record is from Rfam by way of RNAcentral.
UUUCGCGCGCGCCCGACGUGCAAAACCUGAACAAAUUAACGGGUUGUUUUGUUCGUUCGGCUCGCGUCAAA